UGAGGAAUAUUGGUCAAUGGACGAGAGUCUGAACCAGCCAAAUCGCGUGAAGGAAGACUGCCCUACGGGUUGUAAACUUCUUUUGUACAGGAAUAAAAGACAUUACGUGUAAUGUAUUGCAUGUACUGUACGAAUAAGCAUCGGCUAACUCCGUGCCAGCAGCCGCGGUAAUACGGAGGAUGCAAGCGUUAUCCGGAUUUAUUGGGUUUAAAGGGUGCGCAGGCGGGAUUUUAAGUCAGCGGUGAAAUUUUCAGGCUCAACCUGAACACUGCCGUUGAAACUGGGAUUCUUGAGUAUGGAUGAAGUAGGCGGAAUUCGUUGUGUAGCGGUGACAUGCUUAGAUAUAACGAGGAACUCCGAUUGCGUAGGCAGCUUACUAAGCCAUAACUGACGCUCAAGCACGAAAGCGUGGGGAUCAAACA
This 422-nucleotide ribosomal RNA is filed under the name uncultured bacterium. RNAcentral's name for it is "bacterial SSU rRNA". It matches the Rfam family "Bacterial small subunit ribosomal RNA", at positions 355 to 774 of the family's 1533-position model. The record is from RNAcentral.